Molecule: unclassified non-coding RNA, 660 nt
Filed under: Hevea brasiliensis (rubber tree)
Lineage: Eukaryota; Viridiplantae; Streptophyta; Magnoliopsida; Malpighiales; Euphorbiaceae
Source: RNAcentral
AUAUGGAUGCAGCUUUCUCAUACUAUAAAUAGGAUAAUUGCUGUUGUCAUCUCAGGAGCAAGCUUUUUGCAGUGCCCACACCAAGGUGCAAAAAAACUCAACAAUCCAGAGAUCUUUGCUCUUAAGAACAUUCUCAUCAAAAUUUCGUGAAUUCAACUCUACUGAUGCACUGGGCUCAGAACUCUCAGAAGAUCCUCCUGUUGCUUUUCCGUGUAUCCGCUCCUUCAGCAGUGCUUUGAUCUGCUGCAAUGCAUAUUCGGCAAUUGGCUUAGCCUCACGUGCCCCUUGAUAAUCAACAGGAGGUUUUCCAGGUGCAAACACCUUGAUGGUAGGAAAUCCUCUGAUUCCAUAUUCCUGCGCCAGGGAUUUGUGAGCAUCAGCGUCAAGAGCUGCAACCGUGGCAACACCUUUCAAUAUGGUAGCUGCCUUUUCCCAUGCGGGUGUCAGAGCUUGACAAUGACCACACCAAGGUGCAAAAAACUCAACUAAAACAAUACCUUUCGAAUUUAGCACCUUAGACUUAAAGUUGGAUUCAGUUAACUGAACAACUGGGGAUGUAGGUCCAUACAGUGCAUUUGCAGUAGCGAUAAAGUGUAGAACAAUCAAGAAAAGUGGAAAAACCGAAGCUCGAUCCAUUGUUUUCUUCUUCUUUCUUCGUCG